AGUUGAUUCCAACGACGUUCUGUACGGCGGCGAUCCGCAACUGCUGGCCGAAAUCAACUCACUGGCCGAUGACGUCAUCAAAACUGUGACGUCACAUCUUGUCAGCCAAUCGCCACUGAGCCGGGCUCAGGUUUGCCAGGCUGCUGACUGCUGCAUCUUCCUGCUGAGAUCCGCUGAUCAGCAGUGCCGCCCGAUCAGCUCAGCGGUGGUUCAGCUGCGCCGGCUCUGCGACAACGCUGACGGCCUGCCGCCCCACUAUCAGGCUGCGUUGAGGUCUGCUGUUGCUGAUUCCUCGUCGAAGUUCUGAUGAAGAUCGAGCGUUUUCCUUCGCUGGGAAAUCAGUUCAACCAUCGGUGAUUCCAUCAGUCGACAUUUUUCUACCCGUGCAACAAGUGUUUGGGUGGCAUCGCUGCCCACUUCCCUGACGGAUAGCACUGCUGCCCCAUUUCUCCAAGACCGCCAACAAAUCGGCGUCCCUCCACCCAUCUCCAAUGACAAACGGUCGUUCCCUCUCACCCUAAUCCACAUCUGCGCGCGCUGUCCGAACUCGGGCGGACAGAUGUUCGCCCUGCCCCGGCCGUGUAGUGAUUCCAGUGAGCCGGGACUCUGCGCCAUGGCCAGUCGUUCCAGCGACCGAGUGGCCGGCGAUAGGCGGUGCUUUUCCUCGCCGGUUUUCCUCUCGCCGAUUCGCUAGUGAUAGGGAUGAGAAAUGGGUCGCCGCUUUGUAUCGCGAAUUGUGAGUUCCACGUACUUGAAUGAUAUCAGGGGUCGGUAGAAUUGGAGAAUCGAAUAGCCUUUAUACGCCUUCUAGUGAGUAUGAUAUCUUGUGAUAAGAACGUUGCAAUUUACCUUAUAUGUAUGCCACCUGC
This is a long non-coding RNA of Amphibalanus amphitrite, 869 nucleotides long. RefSeq lists it as uncharacterized. The record is from RefSeq and is a predicted model, not a curated record. The transcript is spliced from 3 exons. NCBI's taxonomy places the organism in Eukaryota, Metazoa, Arthropoda, Thecostraca, Balanomorpha, Balanidae.